GGGAGUACGACCGCAAGGUUGAAACUCAAAGGAAUUGACGGGGGCCCGCACAAGCGGUGGAGCAUGUGGUUUAAUUCGAAGCAACGCGAAGAACCUUACCAAGGCUUGACAUACCUUUGACAGAUGUAGAGAUACAUUUUUCCUUCGGGACAAGGGAUACAGGUGGUGCAUGGUUGUCGUCAGCUCGUGUCGUGAGAUGUUGGGUUAAGUCCCGCAACGAGCGCAACCCUUAUCUUCAGUAGCCAGCAAGAGAGAUGGGCACUCUGGAGAGACUGCCGUGGAUAACACGGAGGAAGGUGGGGAUGACGUCAAAUCAUCAUGCCCCUUAUGUCUUGGGCAACACACGUGCUACAAUGGCUGGAAACAAAGUGAAGCGAGACGGUGACGUUAAGCAAAGCACAAAAACCCAGUCCCAGUUCGGAUUGUAGUCUGCAACUCGAGUACAUGAAGCUGGAAUCGCUAGUAAUCGCAAAUCAGAAUGUUGCGGUGAAUACGUUCCCGGGCCUUGUACACACCGCCCGUCACACCAUGGGAGUUGGAAGCGCCCGAAGUCGAUGACCCAACCUGAGAGGGAGGGAGUCGCCGAAGGUGAAGCCAGUGACUGGGGUGAAGUCGUAACAAGGUAACCGUAAGGGCGAAU
RNAcentral lists this ribosomal RNA (640 nucleotides) under uncultured bacterium. Its description in RNAcentral is "bacterial SSU rRNA". It matches the Rfam family "Bacterial small subunit ribosomal RNA", at positions 876 to 1512 of the family's 1533-position model. The record is from RNAcentral.